AUUGAACGCUAGCGGGAUGCCUUACACAUGCAAGUCGAACGGAGUGGCGAACGGGUGAGUAAUGUAUCGGAACGUGCCCAGUAGCGGGGGAUAACUACGCGAAAGCGUAGCUAAUACCGCAUACUAUUGGAGCGGCAGAUACCGAAUUAGCUAGUUGGUGGGGUAACGGCUCACCAAGGCGACGAGCCGUAGCUGGUUUGAGAGUGUGAACAGCCACACUGGGACUGAGACACGGCCCAGACUCCUACGGGAGGCAGCAGUGGGGAAUUGUGGACAAGGGGGGAAACCCUGAUCCAGCCAGCCCGCGUGGGCGAUGAAGGCCUUCGGGUUGUAAAGCACUUUUGGCAGGAAAGCGGUACCUGCAGAAUAAGCACCGGCUAACUCCGUGCCAGCAGCCGCGGUAAUAC
Molecule: ribosomal RNA, 407 nt
Filed under: uncultured bacterium
Lineage: Bacteria
Description: partial 16S ribosomal RNA
Rfam family: Bacterial small subunit ribosomal RNA
Source: RNAcentral